GCCUGUCCCAAUUCGAAGACUCCUUCAAAUGCGGUCGACGAAUGCGGCCUUCUUUUCGCCUGAAUGAAGGAUGGGUCCGGUGUAUCCUUCAAUAGGUAGCAUUUCCCAAGAUGCCUUUUGGGCCAGCCGGCAGAAAAACUUAAAAACAAUGGCGGACAGUGAAGCGGGAGCUGUCGGAGAGGAUUGCGCAUAUAAAUGAACAAAAGAGAAAACCAGGGAAUUUAUUAAGCUUAGGGCGGAGAUGGACCACAUGAUCACCGGAGCAAAGUAUUCAGCGGCUGUGGCAUGGAGACUAUUCUGGAGAAAAUGGGCAUCCAGGGGAAGGUGCCAGCGAUGACCAGCUUCUGGAGCUGAUCUGGGAGGACAUGAGGCUGCAGAGGGCACAGGAGAGAAGGAAGAACUUUGACAGCUUUUUACUUUGCUAGAAAAAAAUUGUUAAGGAAGAUUAAACAUGUACAUAUAAAAGAAAUAUCUAAAUAAAAUCAGUUCUGCAUUAAACUCUUGAAUUUUAUUUUUGUUUACAAAUGAGAAUUGUUUACUAGAGGGUAUCCGCUGGGUCUUGAAAAGUCUUAAA
Molecule: non-coding RNA, 574 nt
Organism: Nothobranchius furzeri (turquoise killifish)
Lineage: Eukaryota; Metazoa; Chordata; Actinopteri; Cyprinodontiformes; Nothobranchiidae
Source: RefSeq, a predicted model, not a curated record